UCCAGACUCCUACGGGAGGCAGCAGUGGGGAAUAUUGCACAAUGGGGGAAACCCUGAUGCAGCGACGCCGCGUGAGCGAUGAAGUAUUUCGGUAUGUAAAGCUCUAUCAGCAGGGAAGAAGAUGACGGUACCUGACUAAGGAGCCCCGGCUAACUACGUGUCAGCAGCCGCGGUAAUACGUAGGGGGCAAGCGUUAUCCGGAUUUACUGGGUGUAAAGGGAGCGUAGACGGCGAUGCAGGCCAGAUGUGAAAGCCCGGGGCUCAACCCCGGAACUGCUUUGGAAACUGUGCAGCUCGAGUGCAGGAGAGGGAAGCGGAAUUCCUAGUGUAGCGGGGAAAUGCGUAGAUAUUAGGAGGAACACCAGUGGCGAAGGCGGCUUACUGGACUGUAACU
RNAcentral lists this ribosomal RNA (394 nucleotides) under uncultured bacterium. RNAcentral describes it as "bacterial SSU rRNA". It matches the Rfam family "Bacterial small subunit ribosomal RNA", at positions 330 to 741 of the family's 1533-position model. The record is from RNAcentral.